CACCAGCCGGGGGUCCAGGUCCUCGAAGAAGUGCAUGUCCGACGUGUUGAAGCACGGGUCAUCGUAGAAAUCGUCGGCGGCCGCGAAGGAGCAGAGGGAGCCCUCCGUCAUCUCCAUGGGGCCCAUUAUAAGUGCUGGUGGCAUUCUGGCUCAUUUAAAAUCAAAGGCAAAGCUGAGAGCAUCUCAGAAGGUGACAGAACAUCAGUUGGCGGUUGAGUCCGCGGUCCCCGUGCCUGUGGCAGCUCAGACGGGCCAUCACCAUGGUCAUGGUUGAAAUGAAGCUGAGAAGAGAGUGGCAGGUUGUACUUCCUGCGCUGCAAAGCAUGCAGAGGAUCAUCCUGUGCACAACAGACAGGUACUGCUGACAAAGAGAUCACAGGCACACAUGCCUCACUGCACAAGCAUCACGUGGACAAGAAAAGCUUCGGUUAUCUAUGGCAGAAAAUCCAGAAGGUAUUUUGGGAGAGAGAGAAAGGCCUGAAAUCUGAGAAAGUACUGGCAUGUUUAGCUACAAAGAUAAAGAUGAGAAGAUUCUCUGAGAAGCUCACACGACAGUGUUUCAGGGAAAAAGAAGCAGCAAGUAAGUCUUGCAUUGAAAAGUUUAAAUGUUGGGCUCCUUGUUGUGUUGCAGUUCAUUUAAGGUCUUCAGUGCUAGAAACCGGUGCCUGUAUUGUAGGUUAACAACUCUUAAUGGAGAAGACUGCUGUAGAUCAAACAUGGCCUCUAUUAGCAAUAUGACACUAGUUUAUAAUUCAACA
Numida meleagris (helmeted guineafowl) is the source of this 758-nucleotide long non-coding RNA. RefSeq lists it as uncharacterized. The record is from RefSeq and is a predicted model, not a curated record. The transcript has 4 exons. NCBI's taxonomy places the organism in Eukaryota, Metazoa, Chordata, Aves, Galliformes, Numididae.